CCUACGGGAGGCAGCAGUGAGGAAUAUUGGUCAAUGGACGAGAGUCUGAACCAGCCAAGUAGCGUGAAGGAUGACUGCCCUAUGGGUUGUAACCUUCUUUUAUAUGGGAAUAAAACGUUCCACGUGUGGGAUAUUGUAUGUACCAUAUGAAUAAGGCUCGGCUAACUCCGUGCCAGCAGCCGCGGUAAUACGGAGGAUCCGAGCGUUAUCCGGAUUUAUUGGGUUUAAAGGGAGCGUAGGUGGAUUGUUAAGUCAGUUGUGAAAGCUUGCGGCUCAACCGUAAAAUUGCAGUUGAAACUGGCAGUCUUGAGUACAGGAGAGGUGGGUGGAAUUCGUGGUGUAGCGGUGAAAUGCUUAGAUAUCACGAAGAACACCGAUUGCGAAGGCAGUUCACUGGACUACAACUGACACUGAGGCUCGAAAGUGUGGGGAUCGAACAGGAUUAGAUACCCCGGUAGUC
This 460-nucleotide ribosomal RNA is filed under the name uncultured bacterium. Its description in RNAcentral is "partial 16S ribosomal RNA". It matches the Rfam family "Bacterial small subunit ribosomal RNA", at positions 338 to 795 of the family's 1533-position model. The record is from RNAcentral.